This 1389-nucleotide long non-coding RNA is filed under the name Olea europaea subsp. europaea. Lineage: Eukaryota; Viridiplantae; Streptophyta; Magnoliopsida; Lamiales; Oleaceae. The record is from RNAcentral.
UACAAAACAAUUUUAUUUCAACAUUUUCCACAUGGAAUAUUAUACCAAUGAAAUACAAUAAUUUACAAUUCCCAAGAAAACAAUUUCUAGACAAUUCAAUUCCCUAAAAUCCGUUUUCAAUUCAAUUCAAUUCAAUUCAAUCUUUGUAAUCAAACGGACCCUUAGUGUCGUUCACAGUCCCAAACAUUUCAUAAAUUCUCAAUAGAUGUCUAAAUUGAUAGAAACUGUCCAAUUUGACCGUUAAUUGACAAAUAAAAUUGAACUCUGGCCAAUUUAAAAGGGGAAAGGGUAAUUUGCUAUUUAACCAUAUGAAACAAUUAAAAUAAUGUAACUAAAACAAAAUAAAAUGGAAAGGAAAAAAACAGCCACCAUCGACUCACCACCCACCACCAACCAACAGCCACUCAACCACCAUCGACCUUCAACCCCUCAACCACCGACCUACACUGUCAAAGAAUACCCAUAGCAUUGGUGGACACCAUCGUCGAAGAAUAGCCACAGCAAAACGACAGUAAUUUUGAGAAAAAUGGCAACCGAAAUUUUGAGUAAAACGAUAGUAAUUUUGGCUAGAUUUUUUUUUUGGGUCAAAAUUUAGACAAUUUCCGUGCAAAUUUAGAGCAUUUUUGUGUGUGGGUGUACAUGUCUAAAUUAGAGAGCCAGAGAUACACAAUAGAUGGUUCUAGCGGUGGCUCUGUAAGAACAGACCCUCAAAUCUAUCGUCCAACUAUCAGGCAAAUUUAUCAUCCAACUAUCAAGCAACUAGCUCGGCCUUUUGCCGUCUCCUCUAGGUUUCUCUUUAUGGGCGGCCUAAUUGUCCCAUCUGAGCCAUCAACAGAGUACCAACAAAAUCAGCUUCGCAGCAGUGCUGGAGCUCGAUCCUUAUACCUCUUCUAAAAUUGGUUGAUGCUUCUAGUUUGGUGGUGUGGGUCGGUAGUGGCUAUGGGGGAUUAUGGUCGUGAGUGGUGGUAGUGUCGUUUUUGGUUUCGAUGGGGAUGGGAAAGAUGGUGAGUGUAUGUGUUUUCAUUUUUUGAUUUAAUUUUUUAACUUAUUUUAAGUAUAAGAUAGGAAGUUAACCUUUUAAAUUGGUCAAAGUUCAAUUUUAUGGGCCAAUUAACAGUUAGAUUGGUCCGUUUGCGUCCAUUUGGACCUCUUUUGCGAACUUAUGAAAGGUUUGGAACUGUGGUUGGCACAAAGUUAAGAUUAGGAUAAAGUUUGCAAAAAAUUCAAAGGUUUGGGACCGCUACUGCAAUUUUUCCUAAAAGAUUUUAGGAUCCGUUUGAUUGUAAAGAUAGAAUUGAAUUGAAAACGAAUUUCAGAGAAUUGAAUUGUCCAGAAAUUAUUUUCGUGAGAAUUGUAAAUUAUUGUGUUUGAUUGGUAUAAUUUUCCACG